This is a long non-coding RNA of Peromyscus californicus insignis, 2877 nucleotides long. RefSeq lists it as uncharacterized. NCBI's taxonomy places the organism in Eukaryota, Metazoa, Chordata, Mammalia, Rodentia, Cricetidae. The transcript is spliced from 3 exons. The record is from RefSeq and is a predicted model, not a curated record.
UAACAUUUUUAAUUUAUUUUAUAUACUGACCACAAUUUCCCUUCCCUCCUCACCUUCCAUUCCCUCUUCUCCCUCACCUUCCAUCUAUCCUCCACCCAAUCCACUCCUUCUCAGUCUCAUUCAGAAAGGGACAGGCCUCUGAUGAUCUUGAACAAAGCAUGACACAUCAAGUUGAGGCAGGACCAAACUCCUCCCCCCUGCAUCAAGACAGGAUGAGGAAGAUCUCCUGGAUACAAUUUGUACUUCCUAAUGAUGAACAAUGCUGACAUUUUCUGUGUUUAUUAGUCAUUGCUUCUUUGUGGCUUUGUGAUACGACUAUGAGAAUGUAAGCUUUAUAAAUUCCUUAAGAUGUUAUGAAUCUUCAGAGAGGUGGCAUCUUUCUCCAGCAGCAAUUGGGAGCAGCUUUGGAGACCCACUGUCAGACAUUAUGUGGAGAAAGAGUCUAAACUGGAGGUCUCCAUCUGGCCCUUCAGUUGGAGAUUUGGGAGCCCCAUGGAAGAAGGGGAGAGAAUGAAGGACACCGGGAGAACAUGGCCCACCAAAUCAACUAAACAGGGCUCACAUGGCUUCACAGAGACUGGAGUGCAAGCACAGGGGCUUCAUGGGUCUGCACCAGGUCCUCCUCUGUGUAUGUGUUAUUGUUGGUAGUUUGGUAUUUUUGUGAGACUCAUAACAAUGGGAGCUGGUGUGUCUCUGACUCUUUUGCAUACUUGAGGCCCUUUCCCUCCUGUUGAGUUGCUUUGUUCAGCCGCAAUAUGAGGGCUUUUUUAUGGUAUCUUGUUUUGUCUUGUUUGACUGGCUGUCAUUUCUUGGAAGCCUGCUCUUUUCUGAAGAGGAAACAGGGGAAGUAGAUCUUGGAGAGGUGGGAGGGAGUCAGGAGGAGUGGAGGAAGGGGAAACUGUGGUUGAGAUGCAUUGUAUGAGAGAAGACUCUAUUUUCAAUAAAAAAGGAGAAAAAUGUUUAUUUCUUGUUGAGUUAAAAUUUUUAAGAAAAGAUAUUAUGAAUCUAAGAAUAGGCUUUCCUCCACACCAAGGAACUGAUUUUUUGACAUGUGCAUAGCCACUUUAAUGUGAACAGAACAAAGACUUUAUUUGGAGAUAGGAGUUUUGCAGAUAUACUUAGUUAAGUUAGCACUACAGUAGGGCAGGCUCCUGACAGUAGGACUGAUGUCUUUAUAGAAAUGGAAGAGGGGUUCUUAGAAUAUUGGUCAAUCAAUUCAUGUCAGUCUUUCUGAUCAAUAUUAAGAGUUUGGUCAUGGUCUUAACUUUUGAAGGUAAAAAUUUGCAAUGAUAAAGUAAUAUUUUUGAAUACAUAAUUGAUUCUGUUAUAUUUAUUUAAAACAUGACCUAUUGGCACAGACUGUGGAAUAAAUUGAUUCCAACUUCACAAAAGUCCAAUUUGUCACUAAUUGAAAAAAACAUUGACCAAAAGAUAAUACAACUUUAUGCUAUCCUAAAAACAGUGAUAAACCUCAGCUAUAAUAACUAAACUACAGCACUAGUUCUAAUAGCAUUUUUGUAUCUAUGUAUUAUGGAAAACCAUGAGAAUAACAGAGCAUUUUAAUAGGCUGUGCUUAAGACUAGUAAUUUUUGAAAUUGUGAAGCACUAGUUGACAAUGAUUACUGCCUUGGGAAAGAGUCAGUAGAAGCGUUUCAAGUCAAUGCCAUGACACAGAACAAAGAAGACCCAUUUAUCAACUCCUCAGAAAAACACAGGUGUACCCCAGAUUUCCACAGGAAUCUCCAUACAGGUAGAGUCUUUACACUGGCUCUGAGGACAGUUCUUUCAGAUUCAAACAUCAGAAAUAUUUUAGAUCUUAGCCUAUGUACUUUACUCCCCUUCCCUCAGUGAGGAAAAACUAAUAAAAUCAGUAAUAUAAAAUAAAUCUUGUCAGAAACAUUAAAAAAUCUAUCUUUAAUCUUCCAUUUAUAAGAUAAUAUGGAUUAUUUUCUUUGAUUUAUUUAUUUGAGACAAAUAUAUUGAAGAACAAGAGCUGCCAGGAACUGUUCUCAAUCCUGAGCACAGCAGUGAAGAGGCAAAUUCCUUCUUCCUCUACUAGUAGGAGAUGUAGGUUAACCAUCCCAUGCAUUAAAACAGUCACCAUUCUAAAAUGUAAAUUUCAAUGUUUUGUUUAUUUGUGGAGUUGUCUAUCAUUAUACAAUUAUAGAACAUUUUUAUCAUCUCUAAAAGAAAACCUCAAUCUUCCUCCCCAGCAUCAGCUCUUCUUUUUCAGAAAAUUGCUCAUCCAUGCUCUGUUUGCACAUCUAUGUCUGCUUUGAAGUUUUCAUAUACAUGUAACUGUAAAGUAUAUAACCUGUUACACUUGGUAUAAUUUCUGAAUCGCCAUCAAUGUUGUAGCACACACUAGUAAUUUUUCCUUUUGGUGGCUGAAUAAUAUCAUAUUGUCUACAUCUUUGUCAGACAUUAAACUGUUUUUUUUUUCAGUAGGUGAUUAGAUAAGAAACUGAGUAUUUAUUCCUGUCCUGUGACAGUGGAAUUCAAAUGUAAGGUUAUGUGAACAUGUGGCAAGUAUUUGUGGAAUCCAGAAAAAGGCUUUGGAUCCCCUGAAGCUGUCCUUCAGGCUGUUGUGAACCUUGUUAUGUGGGUGGUAGGAAAUGAACUCUACUCCUCUGAACAAGCAAAUACUCUUAAUUAUGGUGCCAUCUAUCCCAAUCACAAAUGUAAAGAAAUGAAAAUGAGCUAUUGUAUGGGAACUUUUCAUUGAUGCUGCUUGUCAAAAUUUUCUUUGCAUGGCCACUGCUGACCUUUGUCAGAACUUUUGACUAAAUCUGUAAUAUAUUCUAAGUUACUCUUUAUAGUAGAGAUUUUUAUGUCUAGGAUCCAUCCCAGCAAAAUAAAGUUUAUAGUUGACCUCUA